GUGUAUAUAUAAUGAGAAAAUGAACAAAAAUAUUAACAUCUCAUAUGAUGUAGAGAGACGUUGCAACAAGGAGUGAUGUGAAUAACAAGCUCAGGUUGCAAAUCGAGGCAAAGCGACAACAAAUACGACAAAGACGAGGUAUGCAUGUUUCUAUAAAGUUUUGUAUGUCUAAAGUAAUAUAUUUAUGUUUUUACUUCACGUGGUAUUAAAUUGAAUAUAUAAAAGGUUAAAUUGUUAUGAUAGUUAUAUGAGUAGUAUCAUGAAUCAUCAUAUAACUAUCAACUGCAAAAUGGGGAGGGAAAAUUUUCAUAGGAUAGUCUUAAAGGAACAGUUUCACAUGUGAACAAAAUAGCACCAAUAAUGAAUAUUUAUAUUUUCAUUGUAGCGAAAACGUGUGAUAACAUAUCUCUAUUUGUUUGAAAGCUUCUUUAAGUACAGAAAACUUAUGACUUAAACUUAACUUUCAAAUAGUUCUCUUCUUGGUUUCAAAAUUUAGAAGAGUAAAAAAUGUACACAAUUACAGUGUAAGAGUUUUAUACACUACCGUUAUCUAUCAUUCAUUUUAUCAUCAUUAACUUUAAAAAAAGAAGUAAUACAAAUGAUUUGUAGAUAAUAUAUUGACAGUGUACCAUCUUUAAAAUUUAGUACAUGAUCAUGGAUACACUUUUGUGCUUGCAGCUGCUUAUGAGGCAUCAAGGAAAGAAGUGGAAUAUGAAAGGAUGAACACUAAUCAGUUUACUGAUUAUAUGAGUAAUGAUCAUUCUUGCUAUAAUAUUGGGUCUGGAUCUUCUUCUGGGUACUCCAUGCAAGAUGGGUAUAAUCCCAUUCCUCCACCACAACAUCAAGAUCCAAUGCAACCACCAUUUUCUAUGCCUCCAAAUCCUCAGUCUAUUCCUUUUGGUCAACCUUUCGAUGAGCAUUUCUUUUCCAAGAGCAGCCUUAUCUAAGUUGUUCAUAGAAGUGUGGAGAGAUUGUGCUUUGAAAUAAAUUGUUAUGUUAUGUUUGUUGUGUUACUUGAGUAUGUGGGAUUGAGGGAUCAACUUGGUCAUUGAAGAAGUUAUCCACAUAACUUUGAUAGAGACCCCAAUUUUUAUUAUGUUUUGCUUAUGAAGUGGAUUUGUGAUAUUAUUAUCAUGGAUUUGAUUUGAGUGUGUGAAUUUAAGUUGUUUGACUCAAUGUUUAAUUGAUCUCGUGUAUGUUGACUGAUUUUACACCACCCUUGUCUCUCUCCAUUAUUUGUUACAUGUUGCUCAAUCUUGAAUUGAUUCAAGAUGAGUAGGCAUGUUGAUUAGAUAAGGGUGUCUUUGAAGUGUGGUUAUGGUAGUAUAAAAUCUUUCUGAGUAUACUUUCGAGUUAGAUUUUAGAGGGGGG
This 1371-nucleotide long non-coding RNA is filed under the name Lupinus angustifolius (narrow-leaved blue lupine). RNAcentral describes it as "long non-coding RNA (LANG_LNC001269)". Lineage: Eukaryota; Viridiplantae; Streptophyta; Magnoliopsida; Fabales; Fabaceae. The record is from RNAcentral.